UUAUACUAUGUUUAAUGAUUAAUGUUUGUGUGCACCGUAACUAUUUCUGGCAUUACGCCAGUUUUGCCGCUGUUUCGUGAUCUGUAUAAUUAUCAGUGUAAUCGCGCUAACACUUGCGUUAGCACGGGUGCUUAUAACACUAAUACCUGCAAUAUAUGUUUAGUUCUUCUUAUUAUGGGCAUAAUCCUGUAUUCUACAGUUUGUUAUCUGUUGCUAUAAUAAUGCUGCAUAACGUGAUUUAUGCUAUUAUAUUUCUUUCCGUAGUUUAUAUCCUUGCUUAGUGUAUAUAUGAGAGUUCAUGAUGUUUCAUUUGUAAUACGGUUGAAUCCGUAUGUAGACAGGUUAUUUUUUAUGUCUUAUUUGUUUAUUACAGAAACUACCUCAGUUGAAUACUGGCAUGUGUACAAGGUUGAAACUUGCAUAAAUAAAAGCGAAAUCUGAUGACUCCUCCCUAAUCAGAGUACUGAAGUGGUUAACAGCCUUUAAAACUAGCAAUCAGUGGGGUAAUUCUCAACAAUAAAAGUAAAAAUAAAUAAAAUAGCAGCGCUUUCUUUGCUUUUAAUGACACACAGCUGCUAAGUUCCAUUAAUCCGAAGCAGGAGGGGGUAGUAAUGUACAUACGCUGGUUGCCAGCCGCCGUUAAUACUCAAACAAUUCCAAGUCAACUCGAACACGCAAAACCCCGGUAUGAAGCAUUGUCAUGAGCAUGCCAAACCAACAGAUGGCGAUAUAUUCCUUAACCCAGAGAAGCCACUCCAGUCUCGUCUUGCCAUGAACAAGGAAAAAAUGCGGGAGCUGACUUCGCAGACGUACGUGGUUCAGGUCAUUGGCACUGUUGUAUCACAACAUCAUUUGCUGGCAUGUACAUCUAGGAUGUGAUCAAUCCAGAUGAGAUUCUCUCCAAUGCCAGCAAACCGACAGUGGAAGACACGAGCCAGCACUUCUCCCACCACAUUGCCUCAGGCUUUUGAGAUACCGACUUAUAACUGCUUCUCCCCCCUAUGUUGGGAUCACCGGGGCCUCCAUCGCCCGGCAUGUACACGCUACAUUAGGUGUAGCAAUUAUGUGAGCUGCAGUCUGGAUCCUGCCUCUGUCAGAUGACCUAACACAAAUGGAAAGAUGACAUCGACCCUUGCAAGGACUUCAGACGAUCCCAGCACUGGACUACAUACAGUGGUAAUCAUAUUUUCAGUAGUCCGUGUCAAAUUUUCUUUCAAGUGUUUGGGUGAGAUCUAGACCGAGGACUAAGGCGUAUACUAGGACAGAACUAAGUGUUGUGGCCCACAGGUGAUCCUAAAGCAACAAAGAGGAACCAUGGAGAGGAAGAAGUGGUGUCCAGAUGUUUAAAAGGCGGUGUUCGGGACAGGAAACAAAGGCAACAAAGAGGAACCUCUAAGGUUUAAAGGCACUGCUUGCAGAGACGAGUGCAGAAAACAAGACAGAAGACCUGUCGAGAAUGUUUUAUGAUUAAAUGUUUUUGUUAUGUACAUGCACAUUAUUAUUUACAAUAUAUUUCUAAGAUACAUAAAUAUGUGACCUUGUAUAUGAAAUCCAGGCUACUGUCUUAAAAUCUAAUGACAU
This is a non-coding RNA of Paramisgurnus dabryanus, 1581 nucleotides long. Lineage: Eukaryota; Metazoa; Chordata; Actinopteri; Cypriniformes; Cobitidae. The record is from RefSeq and is a predicted model, not a curated record.